AUGAAAGAUGAGCAACAUGCAAUUAAUGUUCUGAUUCUUUCAAGAUGUUGCCUAUAGGCACAUUUAACCCAUGUCCCACAAUCAGUGUUUACAGGUAGGCCUAACUGGAAUCUGAGCCUGUGCAUUGAAUAACCCGAAAAGCAAACACAUGCAUUACUGUCAACAUGCAGUAGCACUGAGCACUACAAAGAAGUUGCUUAUUUGGAUACAAAGACCAAUCCUAAGCCAGCUUUUGUUUCAGUUGGAAAUUGCCCGCUCAAAUUAACGCUUUCACAAACAAUGCAUCAUUUGGGUCAUCAUUUCGCUGUGUGAUUCGUGUGUGAUACGAUCAGGGAAGCAAGUCUGAAGUUCUUCUACUGAAAGCCUGUAUCUUUUGCCUGUUUUCUAGAAUCAGUCGAACCAUAUCGAAAAAUUCAAAUUAUCUACAGAGAUGGGUCGUCUACAGAAUAAAGAAAUAUCGUAUAUGCCGAUCAUUGAAAAUGGGUUCGCAAAAACGUCUAACUCAUCAAUUAAAUUUGGGAAUGGCAAGAAGAAGCAUACCAAUCAUCUAUAGACGAUAGAGGUCUGGGAGGAAGAGAAGUUAAGCAUUCUAGAAGCAAUGACAUAAGCAGUGGACCCAUCCUUGGCAACAACAUGACUUCUUCAGCAUGUUCAUGGAAAUUUAAUGAUCUCUUUGUGUCACUAGA
Lytechinus variegatus (green sea urchin) is the source of this 686-nucleotide long non-coding RNA. RefSeq lists it as uncharacterized. The transcript has 3 exons. The record is from RefSeq and is a predicted model, not a curated record. Lineage: Eukaryota; Metazoa; Echinodermata; Echinoidea; Temnopleuroida; Toxopneustidae.